Delphinapterus leucas (beluga whale) is the source of this 208-nucleotide non-coding RNA. The record is from RefSeq and is a predicted model, not a curated record. Lineage: Eukaryota; Metazoa; Chordata; Mammalia; Artiodactyla; Monodontidae.
GUUUUCUUACACUUCAGAACAGAAGAGUUCUCUGUUGAAGUUUGAAGAAAACAAGAAGAGGAACCUCUGCUGUCUUCUAAAUGGUGGUAUUUCUAAGAAAUGUCUGAGAUUAUGACAGACUUGCCAAGACAAGAACCCCACCAUUUUGGAGCUUUUUUUUAAAGAACCAAACCUGUGUUUCUACAGAAUCUUAUCACCAGCAGUGAUG